Parelaphostrongylus tenuis is the source of this 73-nucleotide non-coding RNA. NCBI's taxonomy places the organism in Eukaryota, Metazoa, Nematoda, Chromadorea, Rhabditida, Metastrongylidae. The record is from the annotation of a GenBank genome assembly.
GCGUCAGUAGUGUAACGGGUAGAGCACGCGCUCUUGAAAAGAGUGAGGUGCGGGUUCCAGUCCCGUUGAAGCG